This 356-nucleotide ribosomal RNA is filed under the name uncultured bacterium. Its description in RNAcentral is "SSU rRNA". It matches the Rfam family "Bacterial small subunit ribosomal RNA", at positions 26 to 376 of the family's 1533-position model. The record is from RNAcentral.
AGAACGAACGCUGGCGGCGUGGAUAAGACAUGCAAGUCGAACGCGACUUAUCGUGAUAUCAAUAUCAUGGUAAGUUGAGUGGCGAAAGGGUGCGUAACACGUGGGAAUUUACCAAGAAGUGGGGAAUAGCUCGACGAAAGUCGAAUUAAUACCGCAUACGAUCGCAAGAUCAAAGCCGGGGACCGCAAGGCCUGGCGCUUUUUGAGAAGCCCGCGGCCCAUCAGCUCGUUGGCGGGGUAACGGCCCACCAAGGCUAUGACGGGUAGCUGGUCUGAGAGGACGACCAGCCACACUGGAACUGAGACACGGUCCAGACACCUACGGGUGGCAGCAGUCGAGAAUUUUUCACAAUGGAC